UACGUAGGGUGCGAGCGUUGUCCGGAAUUACUGGGCGUAAAGAGCUCGUAGGUGGUUUGUCGCGUUGUUCGUGAAAACUCACAGCUUAACUGUGGGCGUGCGGGCGAUACGGGCAGACUGGAGUACUGCAGGGGAGACUGGAAUUCCUGGUGUAGCGGUGAAAUGCGCAGAUAUCAGGAGGAACACCGGUGGCGAAGGCGGGUCUCUGGGCAGUAACUGACGCUGAGGAGCGAAAGCGUGGGGAGCGAACAGG
This 253-nucleotide ribosomal RNA is filed under the name uncultured bacterium. RNAcentral's name for it is "partial 16S ribosomal RNA". It matches the Rfam family "Bacterial small subunit ribosomal RNA", at positions 524 to 776 of the family's 1533-position model. The record is from RNAcentral.